GCCCGAAUAGCUCAGUCGGUAGAGCAAGCGGCUGUUAACCGCUGGGUCGUAGGUUCGAGUCCUUCUUCGGGCG
Molecule: transfer RNA, 73 nt
Filed under: Planctomycetia bacterium
Lineage: Bacteria; Pseudomonadati; Planctomycetota; Planctomycetia
Description: tRNA-Asn
Rfam family: tRNA
About the family: Transfer RNA (tRNA) molecules are approximately 80 nucleotides in length. Their secondary structure includes four short double-helical elements and three loops (D, anti-codon, and T loops).
Source: RNAcentral